AGAGUUUGAUCCUGGCUCAGGAUGAACGCUGGCGGCGUGCCUAACACAUGCAAGUCGAGCGAUUCACUUCGGUGAAGAGCGGCGGACGGGUGAGUAACGCGUGGGUAACCUGCCUCAUACACAUGGAUAACAUACCGAAAGGUAUGCUAAUACAAGAUGGUAUAAGAGAUUCGCAUGGAUUUCUUAUCAAAGCUCCGGCGGUAUGAGAUGGACCCGCGUCUGAUUAGCUAGUUGGUAAGGUAACGGCUUACCAAGGCGACGAUCAGUAGCCGACCUGAGAGGGUGAUCGGCCACAUUGGAACUGAGACACGGUCCAAACUCCUACGGGAGGCAGCAGUGGGGAAUAUUGCACAAUGGGCGAAAGCCUGAUGCAGCAACGCCGCGUGAACGAUGAAGGCCUUCGGGUCGUAAAGUUCUGUCCUCAAGGAAGAUAAUGACGGUACUUGAGGAGGAAGCCCCGGCUAACUACGUGCCAGCAGCCGCGGUAAUACGUAGGGGGCUAGCGUUAUCCGGAUUUACUGGGCGUAAAGGGUGCGUAGGUGGUUUCUUAAGUCAGGAGUGAAAGGCUACGGCUCAACCGUAGUAAGCUCUUGAAACUGGGAAACUUGAGUGCAGGAGAGGAAAGUGGAAUUCCUAGUGUAGCGGUGAAAUGCGUAGAUAUUAGGAGGAACACCAGUAGCGAAGGCGGCUUUCUGGACUGUAACUGACACUGAGGCACGAAAGCGUGGGGAGCAAACAGGAUUAGAUACCCUGGUAGUCCACGCCGUAAACGAUGAGUACUAGGUGUCGGGGGUUACCCCCCUCGGUGCCGCAGCUAACGCAUUAAGUACUCCGCCUGGGGAGUACGCUCGCAAGAGUGAAACUCAAAGGAAUUGACGG
RNAcentral lists this ribosomal RNA (879 nucleotides) under uncultured bacterium. RNAcentral describes it as "bacterial SSU rRNA". It matches the Rfam family "Bacterial small subunit ribosomal RNA", at positions 8 to 916 of the family's 1533-position model. The record is from RNAcentral.